AUUUGGCUACAUGUGUUUCAUCUGAAAUGAUGUUCUUGUAGAAGGAUGAGCACAUUUACGGGGUUAUCUUAAUGAAGGAGGAAAAUCUUGGACUAGUAUUGCAAUUUUCCCGACGAAUGCUUGAUGAAUGUUUCAUAAUCUGAAAAGAUUAAUUGUUUUAGAGAUGUUGCCUCUUUCACUAUGUACUAACUCCGGGAAAGUAGCAAUGCAUGAGAUAUCAAGAUGUGUUCAUGACUGACAGUGCAUGGCCAUGUUCAACAUCUGGUAUGGCAGCAACAGCAACACAUUUUGCGAGACAAGUAGGCACAGCUGUAAAGGAGAAAAUUGGAAGGACAAAAAGAGCACAAGUACCAUGGUACACCUCUCUGAUGGCUGCUGCUUCUCGUGCACUUGUUGAAAGGUUACCAUUGGUGGAUCUCAUUGUUGAAGUCAGAGAUGCAAGGAUUCCUUUGUCUUCAGAAUGUGAGUUAUUAAGAAACAACCUAUGCUCCUCUAGGCAAAUUAUAGCACUGAACAAAGCGGAUCUUGCUGGUCGAUCUGGUUCGCAAGCAUGGACUGAUUAUUUUAGGAGAACAAAUUGCAUAUCAUGUGGAGUCGACGCUCAUAACAAGGAGAGCACCAAAGAGCUUUUGGGCCUUAUACAGCGGCAAGUGAGAGAAUUGAUGGGAACUAGUCAUGCUAAUUAUACUGCAACAGUGAUGUUAAUUGGAAUUCCAAAUGUUGGAAAGUCAGCUCUUGCCAAUUCCUUGCAUCAAGUGGGGAGAAUUAGUGCAGCAGAAAAAGGAAAGUUGAGGCAUGCAACUGUGAGUCCAGAACCUGGGGAGACUAAAGACAUAAGAAGUUUUAAGAUUGGUAGUCAUCCCAAUAUUUUUGUCUUAGACACACCAUCUGUUUUAUCUCCUGAUGUUCCUGACGUUGAAGUACUAUCAAAACUAAUUUUAACAGGAACAAUCGGAGAUUGUUUGGUCAGUAGAAAAGAAAUUGCUAAAUAUUUUCUGGCGAUUCUUAACUCUAGUGAGCAAUACAAGAAAUGGGUAAAAUUAUCAAGUGAUAAUACUGUCGGAAUAUACCACGGUAUUCCAACAGGGUGUUUGACUUUUUCUGAGUUUGAAGGAAAGAAGAAAAAGCAAAUUCCAACUGAUCACACGCAGGAUGACAUAGUGUGCCAUGUUCGGCGAACCCUUUUUGAAACAGUUUCAUCUUUUGAUGGAAACAUAAGCUAUGAAGAUGAAAUGGGAACACUUAUUGCUAGGCAGUUUGCUGCAUUGCAAGAAGCCUUCCAUGUUUCAGCUGAAUGUGGAGAAGAUGCUCAUGUCAAGGUUGCUGGGAAGUUGCUUAAUCUUUUCCGCACGGGUCGACUUGGACAUUACAUUUUGGAUCAUCUUCCAUAAAAUUUCACUAAUCAUUGCAGUCAAUCCACUGGAUAAUAAUAAUAAUCUCUUCAAUUUAUUCAUAUUCAUCCCUGAAGUUAUACUCCGGGAUCCAAAGUCGUCCUUCAAGCACUCUUCGUCCGCGAGACGCCAUCAGAAAGUUGAUCUGAACUAAUUUCUGACAUGCUGGGAAGACAACAGAUAGCUGACCUGGCUCUAGAAUCUUUUUUAUGGUAAUUUGGUCCCUGAACCAAAUUUAAAAACCCUAAUCCCCAAAUUAGCUUCACCAUAUCCAAAAUUUCUCAUUAUGUGUUCUGCUUGAUUAUCUACUUCAUCUCCAAAUUGAAAUGAUGAUGAGUAGCGUGAGUAAUGUGGUUGGGAGCUCGAACAACCUAUGCUCCAAUGGAAGCAUUGCUAGGAGAAUCAUCAGUCGCGUUUUUCAUAUUGGUGUGGGUGUGGGUCGCAAUCGGUUCUGUGAUGGUCAAGAACGGAUACUAACCCAGGAAUGCCCUUCUUUGGUUGCUCAAACUAUAAUGUAAGUGGUUGUUCUUAUUUGUUGUGUUUCUGGAUAUAAAGUUGUCACAUUGACUUCCAAUCUUUCUUGAAUGUGGGUAUAAACGGUAGGUAAGAGGUGGUGUGGGCCGUUUUUGUAGACAGAUAAAAUUAAGGAAAAAAAUGUUGACAACAAUUAAUGGCAUAAUAGGUCCUUUGAUCGACAAUGAAAAAUAGAAGAUGAAGAUUGCGUAGAAGCUUAGAAGCCUCGAGUCUGAAGUUAAGAUUCUAAAAUUAGGUGGGGCUCUGUUGUUUGUAUGCAUGUUGGUUAUUAGGUAGUGGAUCCUCUCCAGUGAAUAAAAAACUGGAUGGUGUGCAGUGUUUAAUCUAACCAUUCACCACACUCUCUUUCUUAUUUAUUUCUGGUCCCACUAUUAAAAUCAAAGGUGAGAGAUUGCACUGUAUUUUGUCAAGUGUUGAAAAAACUGGAGAGGAUCCAUUUCCUUGGUUAUUAUAGUUAUUUUUUUUUAA
This is an RNA transcript of Arachis stenosperma, 2393 nucleotides long. It is a transcript of the gene named DAR GTPase 2, mitochondrial, with no coding region annotated. NCBI's taxonomy places the organism in Eukaryota, Viridiplantae, Streptophyta, Magnoliopsida, Fabales, Fabaceae. The transcript is spliced from 10 exons. The record is from RefSeq and is a predicted model, not a curated record.